UAACCAUGGUGAGGGCAAUGAUUUAACAGAUCUUUGAAUCUUUCCCAAACUUGAUAAACAUUUCAUUGUCUUUUGGGGAAAAUGUAGAAAUCUGUCAUUUUAGACC
This is a small nucleolar RNA of Humulus lupulus (European hop), 106 nucleotides long. The record is from RefSeq and is a predicted model, not a curated record. Lineage: Eukaryota; Viridiplantae; Streptophyta; Magnoliopsida; Rosales; Cannabaceae.